This 303-nucleotide unclassified non-coding RNA is filed under the name uncultured Melanophyllum. RNAcentral's name for it is "partial contains 5.8S ribosomal RNA, internal transcribed spacer 2, and large subunit ribosomal RNA". The stretch from base 1 to 52 matches the Rfam family "5.8S ribosomal RNA", at positions 103 to 154 of the family's 154-position model. The record is from RNAcentral. Lineage: Eukaryota; Fungi; Basidiomycota; Agaricomycetes; Agaricales; Agaricaceae.
AACGCACCUUGCGCUCCUUGGUAUUCCGAGGAGCAUGCCUGUUUGAGUGUCAUUAAAUUCUCAACCCAUCCAACUUGUAAUAAAGUUGGUAUGAGGCUUGGAUAUGGGGGUUUUGCAGGCCUUUGUUGGUCAGCUCCUCUGAAAUGUAUUAGCGGAACGGUUUGCGAUCUGUCACUGGUGUGAUAAUUAUCUACGCCUAAGACUAUGGAAAGCUCUCUGUCUGUUCAGCUUCUAACAGUCCCUUGUGGACAACUUUAUUGAAAGUUUGACCUCAAAUCAGGUAGGAUUACCCGCUGAACUUAA